AAACCAGCACCUCAAGUGGUCAGGAUGAUUAUUGGGCCUAAAGCAUCCGUAGCCGGCUCUGUAAGUUUUCGGUUAAAUCUAUAUGCUCAACAUAUAGGCUGCCGGGAAUACUGCACAGCUAGGGAGUGGGAGAGGUAGACGGUACUCGGUAGGAAGGGGUAAAAUCCUUUGAUCUAUUGAGGACCACCUGUGGCGAAGGCGGUCUACCAGAACACGUUCGACGGUGAGGGAUGAAAGCUGGGGGAGCAAACCGGAUUAGAAACCCGUGUAGUCC
This 274-nucleotide ribosomal RNA is filed under the name uncultured bacterium. Its description in RNAcentral is "partial 16S ribosomal RNA". It matches the Rfam family "Archaeal small subunit ribosomal RNA", at positions 473 to 747 of the family's 1478-position model. The record is from RNAcentral.